RNAcentral lists this ribosomal RNA (394 nucleotides) under uncultured bacterium. Its description in RNAcentral is "partial 16S ribosomal RNA". It matches the Rfam family "Bacterial small subunit ribosomal RNA", at positions 523 to 918 of the family's 1533-position model. The record is from RNAcentral.
AUACGGAGGAUGCAAGCGUUAUCCGGAUUUAUUGGGUUUAAAGGGUGCGUAGGCGGAUGAUUAAGCGUGAGGUGAAGUGCCACUGCUCAACAGUGGAACUGCCUCGCGAACUGGUUGUCUUGAAUGCUCCUGCCGUGGGAGGAAUGUGUGGUGUAGCGGUGAAAUGCAUAGAGAUCACACAGAACACCGAUUGCGAAGGCAUCUCACGAAGGGGUGAUUGACGCUGAGGCACGAAAGCGUGGGGAUCAAACAGGAUUAGAUACCCUGGUAGUCCACGCAGUAAACGAUGAUAACUAACCGCUGGGUCGUAGUGAUUCAGUGGCCAAGCGAAAGCGAUAAGUUAUCCACCUGGGGAGUACGACCGCAAGGUUGAAACUCAAAGGAAUUGACGGGG